This 799-nucleotide ribosomal RNA is filed under the name Bacillus tequilensis. RNAcentral describes it as "bacterial SSU rRNA". It matches the Rfam family "Bacterial small subunit ribosomal RNA", at positions 77 to 858 of the family's 1533-position model. Lineage: Bacteria; Bacillati; Bacillota; Bacilli; Caryophanales; Bacillaceae. The record is from RNAcentral.
AGCUUGCUCCCUGAUGUUAGCGGCGGACGGGUGAGUAACACGUGGGUAACCUGCCUGUAAGACUGGGAUAACUCCGGGAAACCGGGGCUAAUACCGGAUGGUUGUUUGAACCGCAUGGUUCAAACAUAAAAGGUGGCUUCGGCUACCACUUACAGAUGGACCCGCGGCGCAUUAGCUAGUUGGUGAGGUAACGGCUCACCAAGGCAACGAUGCGUAGCCGACCUGAGAGGGUGAUCGGCCACACUGGGACUGAGACACGGCCCAGACUCCUACGGGAGGCAGCAGUAGGGAAUCUUCCGCAAUGGACGAAAGUCUGACGGAGCAACGCCGCGUGAGUGAUGAAGGUUUUCGGAUCGUAAAGCUCUGUUGUUAGGGAAGAACAAGUACCGUUCGAAUAGGGCGGUACCUUGACGGUACCUAACCAGAAAGCCACGGCUAACUACGUGCCAGCAGCCGCGGUAAUACGUAGGUGGCAAGCGUUGUCCGGAAUUAUUGGGCGUAAAGGGCUCGCAGGCGGUUUCUUAAGUCUGAUGUGAAAGCCCCCGGCUCAACCGGGGAGGGUCAUUGGAAACUGGGGAACUUGAGUGCAGAAGAGGAGAGUGGAAUUCCACGUGUAGCGGUGAAAUGCGUAGAGAUGUGGAGGAACACCAGUGGCGAAGGCGACUCUCUGGUCUGUAACUGACGCUGAGGAGCGAAAGCGUGGGGAGCGAACAGGAUUAGAUACCCUGGUAGUCCACGCCGUAAACGAUGAGUGCUAAGUGUUAGGGGGGUUUCCGCCCCUUAGUGCUGCAGCUAACGC